GACGAACGCUGGCGGCGUGCUUAACACAUGCAAGUCGAACGGAAAGGCCCUGCUUUUGUGGGGUGCUCGAGUGGCGAACGGGUGAGUAACACGUGAGUAACCUGCCCUUGACUUUGGGAUAACUUCAGGAAACUGGGGCUAAUACCGGAUAGGAGCUCCUGCUGCAUGGUGGGGGUUGGAAAGUUUCGGCGGUUGGGGAUGGACUCGCGGCUUAUCAGCUUGUUGGUGGGGUAGUGGCUUACCAAGGCUUUGACGGGUAGCCGGCCUGAGAGGGUGACCGGCAACAUGGGGACUGAGAUACGGCCCAGACUGCUACGGGAGGCAGCAGGGGGGAAUAUUGCACAAUGGGCGGAAGCCUGAGGCAGCAACGCCGCGUGCGGGAUGACGGCCUUCGGGUUGUAAACCGCUUUCGCCGGUGACGAAGCGUGAGUGACGGUAAUGGGUAAAGAAGCACCGGCUAACUACGUG
This 468-nucleotide ribosomal RNA is filed under the name uncultured bacterium. Its description in RNAcentral is "partial 16S ribosomal RNA". It matches the Rfam family "Bacterial small subunit ribosomal RNA", at positions 28 to 507 of the family's 1533-position model. The record is from RNAcentral.